Molecule: ribosomal RNA, 2439 nt
Filed under: Triticum aestivum (bread wheat)
Lineage: Eukaryota; Viridiplantae; Streptophyta; Magnoliopsida; Poales; Poaceae
Description: partial small subunit ribosomal RNA
Source: RNAcentral
AUGGUCAAGAAGAAAUCUUCAUGGAGCCAGGUUGUGAGUGGCAGGCCAACAAACCUCUUUGUUCCUGCAAGAAAUCUUCCACUGCAGGAUCUUGGAGCUGUAAUUUUCGGCUGCACAAACAAUACUAUUGCUGAGUGCCACUCACGCCAACUUUUUGGCUUGCCUAAAGCACAUCUCUCAUAUGUACACAACAUCAAGGAAGGGCUACCUCUAUUCCUGUUCAAUUAUGAUGAUCGCAGAUUGCAUGGUGUUUAUGAAGCUGCAAGCAAUGGCAAAUUCUGUCCCGAAUCAAAUGCAUGGACAAAUAAUGGCUACGAAAAGACAAGCUAUCCUGCUCAGGUUGCAAUGCGGAUAAGAAUGUGGUGUGUUCCACUAGAAGAGAGUAAAUUCAGGAAUGCUAUUAUAGGCAAUUAUUACCAGAAGACGCCCACUGUCUAUGGCCAGAAGCCUCACUUCUUCAGAUUUGAAUUGGAUCAUGCACAAACACGUGCUUUGAUGGCUAUGUUUACUCCUUCGCCUUCCCCCAUCAAGUUCUGGACGCCUCCUGUUUCACAACCAGGAGCUCAGCAUGUGAGCGAACCAACACCACCUCCUGUGUGGGUACAAAAAUUUGAGGGUAACAAUGAGCUCAAAGCAGAAAAGGUUUUAGUGUCAUAUGCAGAUGCGGUAAAACAAAGCAAGUUUGAGGUUGAGGGAGUUGGACUAAGAGAUGUGGAUGAUGGGUGGAACAAUGAGUGGAACAAUGAGCGAAACAACGAGCUCAAACCAGAAAAGGUUUUACCAGAAAAGGGUUUAGUGUCAUAUGCAGACAUGGUAAAGCAGAACAAGUUUGAGGUUGAGGGAGUUGGAAUGGCAGAUGUGGACAAUGGGCAUGCCAGCUCAAGCAAAGAAUCUUCCAAUGGUUUCGAUGAUCUCGAUUGCAAAGAGACACCACCAGAGUGGGAGGAUCAUGCACUGUUCAGUAAGGGAGUUGAAGUGCAACAGCAGCAACAAUCUGCCCAGCAGGAAAAUGAGCUUAGCUUCACAUUGGUAUUAGAGAAGCUUAAGGCUCUAUCAGUCCAGCAACUUAGUUCUGAAUUUUAUGCCAAUGGAGCUGGAACUGAAGGCAUUGAUGCAUAUGGAUGUAAGGACAUGCAAGAAGUUAAAGGUAUAUUUCUUGAGGGGCACUGUGGUUUGCCGGAGAACUUAGAUACCGAAGUCGAUCAGCUUGCCUGGGAGCAUUCCAGUUUGCUACUUCAAGGAUUGGACUAUGAAUCCUAUUCAGAAGCUAAGUUGAUAGAUAUGGUCAAAGGACUGUCCGAACGUAUAGAGACUAUGGAGAAGAAGCAGAUUAUUUCCAACAAAGAAGUCAAAUGCCUACAAGGAGUGAAUGACAGGUUGCUGAAAAGAGUUGUUGAGCUAAAGAACACAGUGAAGAAUUUGAAUUCCAAAAUAGAUCCUUUAUCUCUAGAUGAUUCACUAAAUCAGUUUGUUGAAGAAUGUUUGGGUUCAGAAGAUGUCAUUUAUCUCAUUGGUGGUUCCGAUGGCAUCUCAUUUUUGUCAUCAUUAGACUCCUUCUCACCCUCCUUGGACAUACUAACACCUCUGAAACCAAUGACUGCUGGGAAGUCCUAUACCUCUGCUGUCGCGUUAGAUGGCAAAAUAUUUGUUCUUGGUGGUGGUGAUGGUGCUUGCUGGUUUGAUACAGUUGACUGUUAUGACCGAAGACGUGAUGAUUGGACCCCAUGCCCAGCACUGACUCAUGGAAAGGGGAGCCUCGCUGGAGUUGGUUUGCAUGGCAAAAUUUAUGCAUUUGGCGGUGGAGAUGGCAUUGGCUGUUUCUCUGACAUGGAGGUGUUUGAUCCUGCUCAGGGAAAGUGGACAAAGAGUUACCCUAUGCUAGAAAAGAUCAGGAAAAUUACUAGUUAUGAACGAGAGUACUACACCGUAAAGAGAAAAAACUGUGGGGUUUACAGAAAAACUAGUUAUGAACGACGCUUUUCUCUAGCUGGUGCAGAACUUAAUGGUGUGAUUUAUGCAGUUGGCGGUUUCAAUGGCGUUCAGUAUCUGAGCUCUGCUGAGAGGCUUGAUCCUAGGGAGCCUAACUGGAAAAUGCUCCCAGCAAUGAGUACAGUAAGAGGUUGUCAUACAGUGGCAGUGCUUGAUGAGAAGAUAUAUGUAAUGGGUGGUUAUGAUGCUGAUGCUGGAGCAAUGGCAUCCACCGUUGAGUUGUACGAGCCAAGAAUGCCGUCAUGGGUGAUGGUGGAACCAAUGAACUACACCAGAGGGUACCACUCUUCAGCUGUGCUCGGUGGUUCGAUAUUCACUCUGGGUGGGGUCAAAGGUGAAGCAGAUACAAUCUUGGAUGUGGUGGAGCGCUACAAGGAAGGCUGUGGUUGGGUGAAUACAGGGAUGAAGUCAAUCGGCAGCAGAUGCUACUGCUCUGCCAUUGUUCUCUGA